Molecule: long non-coding RNA, 842 nt
Filed under: Fukomys damarensis (Damara mole-rat)
Lineage: Eukaryota; Metazoa; Chordata; Mammalia; Rodentia; Bathyergidae
Description: lncRNA (ENSFDAG00000031341.1)
Source: RNAcentral
GUGCCAUCUAAACUAUCAUCUAAGCACACUGCCCCAGUUAGGGUGGGCAUUUGAGGGCAGGGGAUGCGGUGACUUCUCCAGCUUCCAAGAAGUCCAGAUGGUUUCCAAGUAACAAUGUCUAAAAUUGACUUGGAUUCGUUUUUCCUUCCCAAACACAUGUGCUUUAACAUGAGGGGGAAUUUAUGAAUAGCAGAGUCAGAUUUGCCCAGAUUUCUGGCAUGGCAUUACCAUAAAUAUAGCCUCACAUGGACUCCCUUUGGUAUGUUGGAUACUGAAGUAGUGCUUUCAUUGUAUUGAUUGUUUAGCAAAUGACCAGUCUUUGAUGUGUUGACUUUUGCAUCACCCUGCAGACUUGUAUCGAUCAUCACAUCAGACCAACCAAGUGAUCAGGAGGUCCCUGACUCUACAAAUAGGGCUCUGCUGCAGCCAAAAAGCAGAAGAAAGCACCCUUCAAGGGCUCUUUUCCCCCUCUGUGUUGGAAGAAGGCAGCUUCCUAUUUGUAGAAGCCUCUAUAGACUCCUCCACAGUGAGACUCCAACAAGGACCUGAGAGAGUAUGGUCUAAGAAGAGAAUGUGGCCAGUCCAUGGAGCUCUUAGGCUCGGUGGGUGAGCCUGCUGCCACUGCUGGUUGCACAGUUGAUGUGGGAAGUCUUGGGAUUUGCUUCUAGAUCUGCCAUCUUCAACAUCACUGAUGCUUCUGCAGUAGAAGGAAAAAUAUUUAACAUUUGAUGUUAAUGGAAUAAGUAAGUAAAUUUGUGCAUAUACACAGUUGUACUCAUUUUAGCGUUGUCUUAGCAUUAAAAAAGUGUCAGGGUGUAGAGAAAUAUUUAAGAUAAGGAAAC